This is a long non-coding RNA of Oncorhynchus tshawytscha (Chinook salmon), 933 nucleotides long. The record is from Ensembl. Lineage: Eukaryota; Metazoa; Chordata; Actinopteri; Salmoniformes; Salmonidae.
GAGUAGUGUUAGUGUGUGUUAGUCACCAGGCCUUAGUGGUACCAGCCAGAGUAGUGUUAGUGUGUGUUAGUCACCAGGCCUUAGUGGUACCAGCCAGAGUAGUGUUAGUGUGUGUUAGUCACCAGGCCUUAGUGGUACCAGCCAGAGUAGUGUUAGUUACCAGGCCUUAGUGGUACCAGCCAGAGUAGUGUUAGUCACCAGGCCUUAGUGGUACCAGCCAGAGUAGUGUUAGUGUGUGUUAGUCACCAGGCCUUAGUGGUACCAGCCAGAGUAGUGUUAGUUACCAGGCCUUAGUGGUACCAGCCAGAGUAGUGUUGGUGUGUGUUAGUCACCAGGCCUUAGUGGUACCAGCCAGAGUAGUGUUAGUCACCAGGCCUUAGUGGUACCAGCCAGAGUAGUGUUAGUCACCAGGCCUUAGUGGUACCAGCCAGAGUAGUGUUAGUCACCAGGCCUUAGUGGUACCAGCCAGAGUAGUGUUGGUGUGAAUUAGUUACCGGGCCUUAGUGGUACCAGCCAGAGUAGUGUUGGUGUGAAUUAGUUACCGGGCCUUAGUGGUACCAGCCAGAGUAGUGUUGGUGUGAAUUAGUUACCGGGCCUUAGUGGUACCGGCCAGAGUAGUGAUGGUAUGUAUGAAUUACCGGGCCUUAGUGGUACCGGCCAGAGUAGCGUUGGCUCCUCUCCAGAUGAGAAUCUCCAGACCCGUAUCCACCAGGAAGACAAACCUACAGGAACACAGAGCAUUAGAACUACAGAACUACAGGAACACAGCAUUAGAACUACAGAACUACAGGAACACAGAGCAUUAGAACUACAGAAACACAGAGCAUUAGAACUACAGGAACACAGAACAUUAGAACUACAGGAACACAGAACAUUAGAACUACAGGAACACAGAACAUUAGACUACAGUAACACAGAACAUUAGAACUAUAG